UCUCUCUCUCUCUCUUUGAGAACAUGUCCUGUCAGGAUUCAGGUUCUCAGCUUUAAGCUCAUGAUGGGUUGAGUUAGUGUGUGUGUGAGUGUGUGUGUGUGUGUGUGUGUGAGUGUGUGUGUGUGUGUGUGUUUCUCCUCACAGCUGUCUUGUGUGUUUGGGUAAACACCACUUUCCUGUCAGAGAUGUUGUGCUAAGCUGAAGUUGGGUCGUGUAGACGGUGAUGUCUCGGGUGUGUAGACGGUGAUGUCUCGGGUGUGUUUAUGAACCGUGACGUACAGGAAUGUUCUCAAACAGCAUCUUUAACAGCGCGUCUCUUCUGACUUCUAAUGUCCAGAAAACUCCAGUACGUUUCUUUCUUUUCAAAUGACAGAUGUUAAAGUGUGAGGAAUUCAUCUGAGCACUGAAACGUACAUAUUUACACCUGAAAGGAGUCGAGAAAGGGGGAAAAAAACGACACAGGAAAGAUGUAGAGGUUUGGAAGCAUCUUUAAAAUAUAAUUUUGUCGUAAUUUAAAUCUAACAGCUUUUUAUUCAGUUGUUUAGUAAAUGUUUACAUUGUACAGUUAUGACAUUAUAAUGAUAUUGAUAUUAUAUUGCAUUUUAUAUACUUACAUAACACACACAUGCAUCACAGAGUACUGCGUUUACAUGUUUUUGGAGAAUUUAUUAAACGUCUACAAAGUAAAUUAAGCCUUGUUUGCUUUUUUUUUUUUUAAAUAAAUAUAUAAUAUAAUUACUUUUAAGAUUCGUUGAUAAAAACAUAAAUAUGUAGGACUGAAAAGUAGAGUUCCUUUCCUUUUUAAACGUUUUCAAAUCAGAUUAUAAUUCUAAAAAAAUAAACAAGCAAAACACCUUUGUAGUAAAAUUAAAAAAAAUUUUUCGUGAUGUGUAAGAAAAGUGUGCUGUGACGGUGUGUCACGAGAUUGAUCGUCUUUACAUUCAUCGGUCAGUUUAUAAUUAUCGAAAAAGAUCCUCAUUUAUUUGUAUUUACAAUUAUGUAAAAAAAAAUUUAUUUAAAAAAAGAAAAGUGUACGUUCACAGUUUAUCACGAUAUCAGUAUUUUAUCUUCAUAUUCAUCAGUCAGUUUGUAAUCAUUUAAAAAACAUGCUUGUGUUAUACAUACUUAUAAUUAUUAGAGAGAGAAUGACGAGGUGAGGGAGAGUGUUCUGUUUAAACCCCGGUCCGUUGUUUUUGUUUGUGUUUUGUUUCACGUUUCCGCGUCGCUGUCGCGACUCGACUGCCUCCGUGGAUUUAACCGUCAGAAACACGGGUGUAAAUCCACUGCGUUGUUUCUCUUAUCUGCCGCUGUGAGUUUCAGAGUGUACUCAGGUUCACGUGACGCGUUAUAAGCACACACAGGUGUUUUUUUUUUUUUUUUUUUAUGACUGGCACGUUGUUGUUGUUGUGGUGGAGGUGUGAGGUUGCAGUUAAUCAGGUUGUAAUCGUAUAUCAUCUUCAGCGUGUUGUGAAUGAAGCUCUGGGAGAGCAGGAUCUCAGUCAGAGCUCGUUACACCAGAGUUCUUCACUCCACACCGAGGGGAAGAUUAAAGCCCCGCUGCAUCUCCCUGAUCUCCUGAAGCAGUGUAACCCCGUGUUAAUACCAAGCAUCAUCACCUCUGUCUCAGCUGCUGGAUGUUUUCCAUCAGGAAGGUUUUAGAGCUCUGUAAACACAACGUCGAGUUCGUUAUCUCCGCGUAAAUGUGUUCUAGACGUACAGUUCCUACAUUAGUGUUGGGAUUGUGUGUUUAAAAUAAAUGUUCGAAAAAUGUAAAUGCUUUAUCCUAUGGCUUCUGACGUAUUGGGGAUGUUCUGAUUUUAAAAAGUGUAAUAAUCAUUUUUUAAACCUAAUCAGAAAACUGAUUUGAAGGAGCUGGAGUUAGUGUUGUAUUUUAAAUAUUUAAAAUUGGAAAUCUAGUGUCUUUAUUUAUAGAAAUCAUUCUUUAGAUGUAAAACAAAUACAUUUAUGAUAUUUGACUUUAUUAAUAAUUAUUUAUUUGUUUUUUAAAACUGUAUCUGGGCCAUUUUCUGAGUAAACCUGCCUGUCGCGUUUCGCAGGAAUGGCGGUGUGAUGUUUUCUCUUCGCUCGCCCGAGUUGAACCUUAAUAAGAACAACGAUGAAAACAGCGCUGCAGUGAAAUGCUCUGAUCUUAGUUUAAUACUGCAUGGCCAUGUUGGUGAGUCUCGCUGAAGUUUUAUAAUCUGCUAAAGUUUUUGUUGACCUUUCUGUGUGGAUUUUUCCUUUGAAGUGAUUAAAGCUCAAAAUGAUGCAGCAGGUUAAUGCUUUAAACGAUUAUUUCUUAACAAUCCGUCAAUUAACGAUUAUAUUUAUUUAAACCCUUUUAAAAAGUGAAAGUGUUUAGUUUUUUUUAGAAAUGCAAAAAAAUAAAAUAAAUCAAGCGUUAAUGAGGUAUUGCUCCAGAUGAGUUAUUGUGGAGGAAACAGAAAUCGCAGCACUGCUUGUUUUUUGUUUGUCUGUUUGUUUUUUUGGAAGAAUUACAAAGAAAAAAAAGUUGAGGCUAGAUGUCUGGCGUGGUAUUAGACACGAGACACUGAUUAGCAUCAUGUUUUUCUUCUGUCUCUGGUCUGUGGCUCCCGUGUAGUGAGCACAUGCUUCCGGACAUGAAGCCAUUUUGAAUUUUAUUCUCAGAAAGUACAAAAAUACUCCUCGCUCGCUCGCUCUGGAGAAAUCGAUCCGGAUGAAUGUGUGUGGUGCAGAAAAUGGAGUGUAAAAAGGUUGGAUAGCGCUAUUUCGGUCCCUUUCAUUAUAAACACACACACACACAUACACUUGGAGUGACAUCAUCAAUCUUAUGACGUCACAGCUGACUGUAAGCCUGCAGUAUGGCAUUAACGUGGGAGUUGCCGUAAACAUAAACAUAAACAUAAUCCUGUCUGAUUACGGGCUUUACACACUGCUGAGUAAGAGUGUGUGUAUG
This is a long non-coding RNA of Ictalurus punctatus (channel catfish), 2938 nucleotides long. NCBI's taxonomy places the organism in Eukaryota, Metazoa, Chordata, Actinopteri, Siluriformes, Ictaluridae. The record is from Ensembl.